This 483-nucleotide ribosomal RNA is filed under the name uncultured bacterium. Its description in RNAcentral is "partial 16S ribosomal RNA". It matches the Rfam family "Bacterial small subunit ribosomal RNA", at positions 28 to 507 of the family's 1533-position model. The record is from RNAcentral.
GAUGAACGCUGGCGGCGUGCCUAACACAUGCAAGUCGAACGGAGUCGUUUUGGAAAUCUCUUCGGAGAUGGAAUUCUCGACUUAGUGGCGGACGGGUGAGUAAUGCGUGAGCAAUCUGCCUUUAAGAGGGGGAUAACAGUCGGAAACGGCUGCUAAUACCGCAUAAAGCAUUAAAUUCGCAUGUUUUUGAUGCCAAAGGAGCAAUCCGCUUUUAGAUGAGCUCGCGUCUGAUUAGCUAGUUGGCGGGGUAACGGCCCACCAAGGCGACGAUCAGUAGCCGGACUGAGAGGUUGAACGGCCACAUUGGGACUGAGACACGGCCCAGACUCCUACGGGAGGCAGCAGUGGGGAAUAUUGCGCAAUGGGGGAAACCCUGACGCAGCAACGCCACGUGAUUGAAGAAGGCCUUCGGGUUGUAAAGAUCUUUAAUCAGGGACGAAACAAAUGACGGUACCUGAAGAAUAAGCUCCGGCUAACUACGUG